AGUGAAGCGGCAAGAGCUCACAUUUGGAAUCGUGUUUCGGCACGAGUUGUAAAUUGCAGGUUGGAGUCUUUGUGGAAGCGUGUGUCCAAGUCCCUUGGAACAGGGCGCCAUUGAGGGUGAGAGCCCCGUGGGAUGCGCGCGGAAGCAACAAGGCCCUUCUGACGAGUCGAGUUGUUUGGGAAUGCAGCUCUAAGCGGGUGGUAAAUUCCAUCUAAGGCUAAAUACUGGCGAGAGACCGAUAGCGAACAAGUACUGUGAAGGAAAGAUGAAAAGCACUUUGAAAAGAGAGUGAAACAGCACGUGAAAUUGUUGAAAGGGAAGGGUAUUGGGCCCGACAUGGGGAUUGCGCAUCUCUGCUCCUUGUGGGCGGGGCGCUGUGCUUUUCCUGGGCCAGCAUCGGUUUUUGCCGCAGGAGAAGGGGUACUGGAAUGUGGCUCCUCGGAGUGUUAUAGCCAGUGCCAGAUGCUGCGUGCGGGGACCGAGGGCUGCGACAUCUGUCUCGGAUGCUGGCACAACGGCGCAAUACCGCCCGUCUUGAACCACGGACCACGCAGAAACAAGA
Molecule: ribosomal RNA, 562 nt
Filed under: Pichia pseudolambica
Lineage: Eukaryota; Fungi; Ascomycota; Pichiomycetes; Pichiales; Pichiaceae
Description: [Candida] pseudolambica partial large subunit ribosomal RNA
Rfam family: Eukaryotic large subunit ribosomal RNA
Source: RNAcentral